AAGACUAGGAACACCUUUAUUUUAUAUAUCAAAAAAAUUUUUCAUCUAAGUGAAAAGACUUAGAUAGCAAAGGAAGACGAAAAGACCCCGCGGAGCUUUACCUUUUCUUAUACUUCCGUGUACCUACUUAAAUGUAUUAAAG
RNAcentral lists this ribosomal RNA (142 nucleotides) under Sinanodonta lauta. Its description in RNAcentral is "partial 16S ribosomal RNA". The record is from RNAcentral. Lineage: Eukaryota; Metazoa; Mollusca; Bivalvia; Unionida; Unionidae.